Molecule: ribosomal RNA, 164 nt
Filed under: uncultured bacterium
Lineage: Bacteria
Description: partial 16S ribosomal RNA
Rfam family: Bacterial small subunit ribosomal RNA
Source: RNAcentral
UAGGGAAUCUUCCACAAUGGACGAAAGCCUGAUGGAGCAACACCGCGUGAGUGAAGAAGGGUUUCGGCUCGUAAAACUCUGUUGUUAAAGAAGAACAUAUCUGAGAGUAACUGUUCAGGUAUUGACGGUAUUUAACCAGAAAGCCACGGCUAACUACGUACCAG